This 434-nucleotide unclassified non-coding RNA is filed under the name fungal sp. RNAcentral describes it as "partial internal transcribed spacer region". The stretch from base 1 to 46 matches the Rfam family "Eukaryotic small subunit ribosomal RNA", at positions 1786 to 1831 of the family's 1831-position model. The record is from RNAcentral. Lineage: Eukaryota; Fungi.
AAGUCGUAACAAGGUUUCCGUAGGUGAACCUGCGGAAGGAUCAUUACAACGUAUCCAACGUAAACAAACGCGAACUUCCCUUUGGGACGCGGGACCAAACGCAGGCAGCUGCUUUGGUUAUGAAGUUAGUUAGGCUGAACUGCUAACAGAGUGUUUCGUCGAUGGAGGCUUGCCUGGACAGUCCAGGCUUGCCUGAAACACCAGUUCUUGGCCCGGAUUAGUUCCUUGUGAACGUGUCCGAACUUCGCCUGCCCCAAAGUGUAUCAAACCAUCGGUUCUAUUGUACCCUUUUAUUAACCCUGUAAACUUUGUACUGAACUCUGGGAGCGCUGUGGUAGUCCUCGUUGGCUUCGGUCACGGACUGCGCUAACACAGUGUUUUCUCACAUAUUACGAAAUUAAGAACAACUCUUAACAACGGAUAUCUUGGCUCUC